ACGAAGGGGGCUAGCGUUGCUCGGAAUCACUGGGCGUAAAGGGUGCGUAGGCGGGUCUUUAAGUCAGGGGCGAAAUCCUGGAGCUCAACUCCAGAACUGCCUUUGAUACUGAAGAUCUUGAGUUCGGGAGAGGUGUGUGGAACUGCGAGUGUAGAGGUGAAAUUCGUAGAUAUCGGGAGGAACGCCAGUGGCGAAGGCGGCUUCCUGGCCUGUUCCUGACGCUGAGACGCGAAAGCUGGGGGAGCGAACGGGA
This 253-nucleotide ribosomal RNA is filed under the name uncultured prokaryote. RNAcentral describes it as "partial 16S ribosomal RNA". It matches the Rfam family "Bacterial small subunit ribosomal RNA", at positions 525 to 777 of the family's 1533-position model. The record is from RNAcentral.